RNAcentral lists this unclassified non-coding RNA (395 nucleotides) under soil metagenome. RNAcentral's name for it is "partial contains 5.8S ribosomal RNA, internal transcribed spacer 2, and large subunit ribosomal RNA". The stretch from base 1 to 120 matches the Rfam family "5.8S ribosomal RNA", at positions 35 to 154 of the family's 154-position model. The record is from RNAcentral.
GAUGAAGAACGCAGCGAAAUGCGAUAAGUAAUUUGAAUUGCAGAAUUCAGUGAAUCAUCGAAUCUUUGAACGCACCUUGCGCCUUUUGGUAUUCCGAAAGGCACACCUGUUUGAGCGUCAUGAAUACCUCAAUCUCCAUCUUUUCUUCGGAUUGAUGGGUGACUUGGAUGUUGAGCCCUGCUGGUAUGCUAUAUCAGCUGGCUUUAAACUUAUUAGCCGGCUCUGUACUGGAUCGGUUUGACUCGACGUGAUAAUAUUAUCGUUGAGGAUGCAUGUCUCAUGCAGCCGGAAAGUAUCAAAGCAGCUUCUAGCUUGCCUUUAGUGCACUUUUACAUUUUAGACCUCAGAUCAGGUGGGACUACCCGCUGAACUUAAGCAUAUCAAUAAGCGGAGGA